GCAUCUACUCCCAGGGAUUCCAAAGAAAAAGGAUUGAAUGUGGAAAGGAGAAGGCAAAUUAAAUGCUCCAGGUUCCUUACAGUGUUUCCAGACACAGCUGGCAGAGAUGUAUUGACUUCAACUUGUUUUGAUUCAACAAAAAAAGGCAAACUCUUCCCAAGAUUGUACCUCUGCAUCAGAGCUACUGCUGGAGCACUUGGAGGCUACUGGCACACAUCCCAUGCCUGAGGCUAUCCAGGAGGACCCAGACAAGCAUGCACUUUCCUCUCAGAAUUUGCAAAUGAGCUGCACAUGGUUUGAAACCUGGGAACAUGCUGACUGUUGAGGAGGAAUCUGCGCCCUUGCGUCAUG
Molecule: long non-coding RNA, 351 nt
Organism: Pogoniulus pusillus (Red-fronted tinkerbird)
Lineage: Eukaryota; Metazoa; Chordata; Aves; Piciformes; Lybiidae
Exons: 4
Source: RefSeq, a predicted model, not a curated record